UUUGAGCAUUAGGGUCAAAGAGAUGAAUUAUAUGAUAAGCAUACGUCAGUAGGUUCUAGGAUAUUGCUUUGCAAUACUUCGACCUAUCUGGUUGUUGGGUAACCAUUACUAGAUGGUUACAUCGAUUGGUAUAGAAAAUUAUUCCUAUACUACCGAUUUAGGUUCGAACCUAUGGGGUCACAUGCAUUAGAAGAUUUUGUC
This 201-nucleotide long non-coding RNA is filed under the name Elaeis guineensis (African oil palm). RNAcentral's name for it is "long non-coding RNA (EGUI_LNC035585)". The record is from RNAcentral. Lineage: Eukaryota; Viridiplantae; Streptophyta; Magnoliopsida; Arecales; Arecaceae.